CGCACACGUCAUCACUCAUUGACCCUCCCCUCCACCAGAAGUGAAGACAACUUUGAACGUUUCGCGAUUUCCAUUCAGUGCACUUAUAAAUCAUCCUAAAGGCAGCUAACUCGGGCGGUCACGUGACCAGCGGAGCAAGCUUCAGUUGGUGACGUUGAGUCAGACGCCACAACAACCAGAGAGAGAGAGUGAGCGUAGUGCGUGUGUCUGGUGGAUGCGUGCUAACAGUGAAGCUGUUGUGCGCUGAGCAACACAGUCUCUCAGAGGUAUGCUGGUUAACUGCCUUGUUCGCCACUGAUUAUCCUAAACUGAUACUCUAAUAAUGUACACUGUAUACUAGUCAAGAGAGAGACAUGACGGAAACGCGACAAGUGUGGAAUAGAAGCAAGGUUUCUGUUAUUCUCGGCUUAAUACUCUUCACUCUACACAUUAUCAGCUGUACAACUCUUGGUAAGUACUCAAGUAAUUUUCUAUAUGUCACGUGUACACUCAAAAAGUAUCUUAUUCUUUCUCAUUUCAUCUCGGACAUCGUGUCGCAUCCUCCAGUCGAUCAUUAUUGUCAAUUAUUUUUAACUUGAGAACUUAAAAUUUUUUUUAAUUUUUAUUGUCGACUUUGGUUAGAAGUAUUUGUUAUUAGUGAUAUUAUCUUUGUAUCGACUUUCUGGAUAAAAACUUUUUUUGCCGUGUUUCUUGUAAACCGAUCAAAAGAGGAAAGGAGGGCGGGUGGAAAAAAAACACAGAAACGUGGAAUCGACACAACACUGGCCGCAAAAGAUAAGAAGGAGACACUAAAGAAAAAUCUGCAGCACAUUUUGUACCUUUCUUAAAAUAUAAAGUAAAAAGAAAAAUAGUAUAAUAGAAAUGCACUUAGCGCUACUUUCACCUUUUGAAUGCAUUUUCAAUAUUUUAAGACAUGAA
RNAcentral lists this long non-coding RNA (918 nucleotides) under Androctonus crassicauda. Lineage: Eukaryota; Metazoa; Arthropoda; Arachnida; Scorpiones; Buthidae. The record is from RNAcentral.